GGUUGUAUAGUGUAGCGGUUAGCACAUCGGAUUCUGAUCGCAUGGGGUGUAAGUCAUCUCAGUGAGAGAAUUCCGGUAACCCCGGUUCGAUUCCGGGUACGACCU
Molecule: transfer RNA, 105 nt
Filed under: Acidomyces richmondensis BFW
Lineage: Eukaryota; Fungi; Ascomycota; Dothideomycetes; Mycosphaerellales; Teratosphaeriaceae
Rfam family: tRNA
About the family: Transfer RNA (tRNA) molecules are approximately 80 nucleotides in length. Their secondary structure includes four short double-helical elements and three loops (D, anti-codon, and T loops).
Source: Rfam by way of RNAcentral